This 74-nucleotide transfer RNA is filed under the name Marmota monax (woodchuck). RNAcentral describes it as "tRNA.Val". The stretch from base 9 to 69 matches the Rfam family "tRNA", at positions 6 to 65 of the family's 71-position model. From Rfam's summary of the family: Transfer RNA (tRNA) molecules are approximately 80 nucleotides in length. Lineage: Eukaryota; Metazoa; Chordata; Mammalia; Rodentia; Sciuridae. The record is from RNAcentral.
UUUGGGAAUGUAGUUCAGUGGCAGAACAUUUGCCUAACAUAUAAGCGGCCCUGGGUUCAAUUCUCAGCACAAAA